This 286-nucleotide ribosomal RNA is filed under the name Pristurus rupestris rupestris. RNAcentral describes it as "partial 12S ribosomal RNA". The record is from RNAcentral. Lineage: Eukaryota; Metazoa; Chordata; Lepidosauria; Squamata; Sphaerodactylidae.
CGUACUAGAGGAGCCUGUCCUGUAAUCGAUACUCCACGCUGCACCUCACCCCCCCUUGCUACCCCAACCUAUAUACCGCCGUCGCCAGCUCACAAUGUGAAUGCACCACCGUGAGCAAAAUUAUUAAACCAUAAACACGACAGGUCAAGGUGUAGUUCACGGGAGGGGAGAGAUGGGCUACAUUUUCUCCACCAGAAAAUACCACCCGCACCGUGAAAUCUACGCUCACAGGCGGAUUUAGAAGUAAGCCUGGCAAGACGUGCCAACCUGAAAAGCUCUGGGAUGC